This 306-nucleotide long non-coding RNA is filed under the name Olea europaea (common olive). RNAcentral describes it as "long non-coding RNA (OEUR_LNC000233)". Lineage: Eukaryota; Viridiplantae; Streptophyta; Magnoliopsida; Lamiales; Oleaceae. The record is from RNAcentral.
ACAUGUUAUUUGUGGCUUCAAAGAACAGCUUACUUUCAUGACUACAUGUGAAUGUCACAUAUCUCAUAACCUUAUCGUCACCCUUUUUCGAAUUUCGUUUCCUCAAUGGAAAGCCUAUGGCAUAAGCACAUCUUUUAUAGAAGUCCAACAUUUCUUUUUCACUAUUAAACAUCACACACCUCAAGCUUAGUCACAACAUCUCCUCCUAAUUUUUCAUUGUCUAAUGUGUUCGAAUUUGUCGCUACAUUCUCGUUAUCACAUUCUACCAAGACAUCAUGAUUCUCAUCUUCUAUAAUCUCUUUUCCU